This 440-nucleotide ribosomal RNA is filed under the name uncultured bacterium. RNAcentral describes it as "bacterial SSU rRNA". It matches the Rfam family "Bacterial small subunit ribosomal RNA", at positions 338 to 768 of the family's 1533-position model. The record is from RNAcentral.
CCUACGGGUGGCAGCAGUAGGGAAUCUUCGGCAAUGGACGGAAGUCUGACCGAGCAACGCCGCGUGAGUGAAGAAGGUUUUCGGAUCGUAAAGCUCUGUUGUAAGAGAAGAACGAGUGUGAGAGUGGAAAGUUCACACUGUGACGGUAUCUUACCAGAAAGGGACGGCUAACUACGUGCCAGCAGCCGCGGUAAUACGUAGGGCGCGAGCGUUGUCCGGAAUUAUUGGGCGUAAAGAGCUUGUAGGCGGUUUGUCGCGUCUGCUGUGAAAGGCCGGGGCUUAACUCCGUGUAUUGCAGUGGGUACGGGCAGACUAGAGUGCAGUAGGGGAGACUGGAACUCCUGGUGUAGCGGUGGAAUGCGCAGAUAUCAGGAAGAACACCGGUGGCGAAGGCGGGUCUCUGGGCCGUUACUGACGCUGAGGAGCGAAAGCGUGGGGAG